UCUCACAUGCCGCGGAGCAACUAAGCCCGUGCUCCACAACUACUGAGCCUGUGCUCUAGAGCCCACGAGCCACAACUACUGAGCCCAUGUGCCACAAGUACUGAAGCCCAUGCGCCUAGAACCCGUGCUCCACAACAAGAGAAGCCACCGCAAUGAGAAGCCCGUGCACCACAACGAAGAGUAGCCUGCGCUCACCGCAACUAGAGAAAACCUGUGGGCAGCAAUGAAGACCCAACAUGGCCAAAAAAUAAAUAAAUUAAAAAAAAAAAAAAGAAUUGAUGUUGUAGGAAAGAAGGAGGGUAUUUAUAUAAAAAAAAGAAAAAGAACCUUUAUUGCCACAUCUGUAAAAUGGGAAUCAUGAUACCUACAUCUCAGGAUUGUUGUGAAGAGAAAAUGUGACAGUGGUUAUCAGGUGCUUGACACAGCACCCCCUGACACACAUUGCGUUUGCUCCAGCUGCCUGUGACAAGCAUCCUUCAUGACUGCGCCGAAUGCCUUCCAUCUCUGUGCCCAUGUCACUUCUCUCUCUAGCUUGUCCUUUCCAUUCUCUUCAGUGUUUAUCAAACUCUACUCAUGGAUUUAGGCUUGGCUUAGGCUCACCGCUUCCCCCAAACCUUCCCAGAUACCUCCCCAGGCAAGAUGCAUAUGUUUGUCCUCUGUGCUCCUGUGUACCUGGGUUGCAGAAUAUCUCUAUCUCAUGUGUUACAGAAGGUGCUGGAUAUAUGGUGGCAAACAAAACAAAGUGCCUUUCUUGGCGGACCUUGUGUUCUACUGGACACAGGGGCCACAGGCCUUUCAGCAUUGCUGGUGGACCCAGUGCAGAGCAGGGAGUGAUGGUGGAGGAAGCUGAAGAGGAGGAGGGCAGUUUGUUUUACGUGGAAGAGUUGAGCUGAUACCCUACCUACUUCCACAAAGGAUCUGAGACACAUAAAAAGCUAAGGAUUUGCCAAAUCAAACUACCACUGGGCAGGAAUCCCAGACCCCGUCCUGAGGAGGAGAUUCUUCUGCUUCCCCCAGAGGCUCUUGGUUGCUGCAGGGAGACUGCCAACACUGCUGGAGAAAAGAGGCUGCUCCUGGACCCUGUGUACUCCUAGAAAUCCCCUUGGGUUGAUUCAGUAAUUGGAUUUUGACUCAAGGCUGUGAGUGGAGAGUCUGGUACAUAGUGAGAACUUCAUAAAUGUUUGUUGAAUGAAAACAUGAGGGUGAUGACUUUAUCUGUAAAAUAAAGGAGUGGCUAAUCCCUCUGAGCUUUGACUUCAGCCUAAGAAUGAGUGGCAUUAUGAACUUCCUGGAAAGUAAGAUGGUUCCUAUACCAACACCCUGCUCAAUUUAAGUCAAAGGAUAAAAUGUCACAAGUAAAACCAUGUGCCUGGGCUUCCCUGGUGGCGCAGUGGUUAAGAAUCUGCCUGCCAAUGCAAGGGACACGGGUUCGAGCCCUGGCCCGGGAACAUCCCACAUGCCGCGGAGCAACUAGGCCCGUGCACCACAACUAUUGAGCCUGCGCUCUAGAGCCCGCAGGCCACAACUACUGAGCCCACGUGCCCUAACUACUGAAGCCUGUGCACCUAGAGCCCGAGCUCCGAAACAGAAGCCACGACAAUGAGAAGCCCGCGCACCGCAGUGAAGAGUAGCCCCUGCUC
Eubalaena glacialis (North Atlantic right whale) is the source of this 1640-nucleotide long non-coding RNA. RefSeq lists it as uncharacterized. NCBI's taxonomy places the organism in Eukaryota, Metazoa, Chordata, Mammalia, Artiodactyla, Balaenidae. The record is from RefSeq and is a predicted model, not a curated record. The transcript has 3 exons.